Molecule: ribosomal RNA, 837 nt
Filed under: Neohelicosporium laxisporum
Lineage: Eukaryota; Fungi; Ascomycota; Dothideomycetes; Tubeufiales; Tubeufiaceae
Description: LSU rRNA
Rfam family: Eukaryotic large subunit ribosomal RNA
Source: RNAcentral
UUGCCUCAGUAACGGCGAGUGAAGCGGCAACAGCUCAAAUUUGAAAUCUGGCUUCGGUCCGAGUUGUAAUUUGUAGAGGAUGCUUCGGCUUACGUACCGGUCUAAGUUCCUUGGAACAGGACGUCACAGAGGGUGAGAAUCCCGUUUGUGGCCGGCACUUCCGCCAUGUGAAGCUCCUUCGACGAGUCGAGUUGUUUGGGAAUGCAGCUCUAAAUGGGAGGUAAAUUUCUUCUAAAGCUAAAUACCGGCCAGAGACCGAUAGCGCACAAGUAGAGUGAUCGAAAGAUGAAAAGCACUUUGGAAAGAGAGUUAAAAAGUACGUGAAAUUGUUGAAAGGGAAGCGCUUGCGACCAGACUUGCCCGCGGAUGCUCAACCGGUCCUUCGGCCGGUGCACUCUUCCGCGGUCAGGCCAGCAUCAGUUCGGGCGGUCGGAUAAAGGCCUUGGGAAUGUGGCUCUCUUCGGGGAGUGUUAUAGCCCUUGGUGCAAUACGGCCCGCCUGGACUGAGGCCCGCGCUUCGGCUAGGAUGCUGGCGUAAUGGUCGUAAGCGGCCCGUCUUGAAACACGGACCAAGGAGUCUAACAUCUAUGCGAGUGUUUGGGUGUCAAACCCGUGCGCGAAAUGAAAGUGAACGGAGGUGGGAACCUUAGGGUGCACCAUCGACCGAUCCUGAUGUCUUCGGAUGGAUUUGAGUAAGAGCAUAGCUGUUGGGACCCGAAAGAUGGUGAACUAUGCCUGAAUAGGGUGAAGCCAGAGGAAACUCUGGUGGAGGCUCGCAGCGGUUCUGACGUGCAAAUCGAUCGUCAAAUUUGGGUAUAGGGGCGAAAGACUAAUCGA